Pyrus x bretschneideri (Chinese white pear) is the source of this 1468-nucleotide long non-coding RNA. RefSeq lists it as uncharacterized. The transcript has 2 exons. The record is from RefSeq and is a predicted model, not a curated record. Lineage: Eukaryota; Viridiplantae; Streptophyta; Magnoliopsida; Rosales; Rosaceae.
UCCAAAUCAAAUCUGUCGCUGUCUGUGCAGGUUGUCUUUUUGUUGUGGCUUUGCACAAGAAAAGUUGGAAUCAUCGUUUGUAACGUAAUGAUUAAUCAAUGUAUGCACUACAAAAUUGCCAACGUAAUAUUAUUAAAAUCAUAAUUUUGAAAGUUUAAUGAAUUAAUUAAAGUCUGCAAGUCCAAAGUUGCUUAGACCAUGGAAAGAAUCGGAUGCAUGUGGAUUUGGAUGUGGUCGGCGGCACGUACGAUAGUGGCGGGGUCACCGACUCUUCUACUUUAACCCAUGUAACACUCCAAAAGCUAACCUCAUCAAGAAUCAGAUUAAUCGAAUCGGAUCAUUACGUUAAGUCAGGGUUAGUUAAUUUUGGAAGAUUUUAAAUGAAUGAGCAUUUUUAGUGAAGAUAUUUUUCCUUCCAAAAACACCAGUUAUGUGUUUCUUGCAGGAAACACUUCAAGUAAUAUUUUAUGAUUAACUUGCAUUUUUGUUAAGGAUUAAUUUUGAAAACAUUUUCUUUAAAAGCGCAUUUAGUCAUAUAAAAACAAUUUUGAAACAAGCCGUUCAUUAAUUACAUGUAUAUUUAUAUGGAACCAGAAGUAGAAUUAUUUAUGUAGAUCACUAGUGAAUAGUUCCCUCUUUGGUACAACGAAAUAGUUACUCUUUUGUUGACUGAAAGGUCAUGGGGUUCGAAUCAUGAUUACAACCUCUUUGCAAAAUAAAGGUAAAACUAUGUACAAUAGACGUUCAUCUUCUCCUCGACCCUUUCAAGGGUGAGAGCCUUGUUGGUUGGAAUUACCUACUUGUGAAUAUUGAUCAUGACAUUGGGUCUUUACUUUUUCCUCACUUUACCCUCUUUCACAGCUUCUUUUAUAUUUUCCCCACCUUCCAUUCUUUUGACAACAAUCUUUACUUGUCCUGACCACCAAGGCAUCUCGCAUUCCUUCGCUUUACUCUCUCUCCCGCCUCUCUUUCGUCACCUUUUCUCUCUCUAUUCACACUUAAAACCUAUACAUAUUUACCCACAAAUUUAUCAUCACCGAUCCACCAACACCUAAAGAACAAUUAUUUCUUCUCAGGCUUCAAUGGCUGUGUAUGUGUCGAUGCCUUUUCUAGUUGCUGCCGCAACCGGGAUAUAUUUCCUCGACAAAAACCAUUACCAACCAAAGGAACUCGGAGCUGGGAUUCGAGCAACCAUCCAAGAUGUUGUAGCAAAAGCGAAGGCCAAGGUGAACACCACUCAGACGCCAAAAUUGGCACCCCAAUUUGACGGAUUAGACUCCUUUGAAACCUUGGUCGGUCGUUAGCACCCCUAAACCCUGUGCGAAAGCAUGAGUAUCUGCUCCUUCAGGCUCUUAAUUUACUUAAUGAAUCGUAGCAACACAUGACUGAAUCUUUCAGCUCUUGCUAUAUCUUCCCUCCGUUCAUAUUUCAUCCAAUAUAAAAUAUGAUCGGUCUACUUAUCAUCCAA